UUUAGACAUUGUACCAACGGGCGGCGCGAGCGUAAGCCUCUUGGAAUAGAAGCGUCNUACCUGGGUGAGAAUCNUGUGUUUCGCUUGAUGUCCGCCGUGCACGGUACUUGCUCACAGAGUCACGCUCCUCGGAAUUGGAGCGUAAAUUGGGUGGUAAAUUUCAUCUAAAGCUAAAUACAGGCUCGAGACCGAUAGCAAACAAGUACCAUGAGGGAAAGAUGAAAAGGACUUUGAAAAGAGAGUUAAAAGUGUUUGAAAUCGCUGAACUGGAAGCGAAUGGAACUAGUGCUCUGGCUGAGAUUGCUGUAAGUGGCAGCCAAAUUUGGGUGUCUGAACGCAAGUCUCUCACCUGGCUGUAAGCUGUUGCUUGCAAUGUGUCUCAGCUUGAAUGUCAAUGUCUAUGCGCGCAUGAGGAUGGCCUCUGGCUCAUGCUAUCUUGCUGCGGCGAGAUUCUUGUGCCUCUGGGCCA
RNAcentral lists this ribosomal RNA (469 nucleotides) under Symbiodinium sp. SydF7. RNAcentral's name for it is "LSU rRNA". It matches the Rfam family "Eukaryotic large subunit ribosomal RNA", at positions 151 to 576 of the family's 3401-position model. The record is from RNAcentral. Lineage: Eukaryota; Dinophyceae; Suessiales; Symbiodiniaceae.